GCACCGGCUAACUACGUGCCAGCAGCCGCGGUAAUACGUAGGGGCGAGCGUUGUCCGGAAUUAUUGGGCGUAAAGGGUACGUAGGCGGCUUUUUAAGUUUGACGUGAAAGCCCGGGGCUUAACUCCGGCAAGCGUUGAAAACUGGAGGGCUUGAGUGAUGGAAGGGACAGUGGAAUUCCUGGUGUAGUGGUGAAAUGCGCAGAGAUCAGGAAGAAUACCAGUGGCGAAGGCGACUGUCUGGACAUUAACUGACGCUGAGGUACGAAAGCGUGGGGAGCAAACAGGAUCAGAUACCCUGGUAGUCCACGCUGUAAACGAUGAGUGCAAGGUGUUGGGGGUCAAACCUCGGUGCCGCCGUUAACACAGUAAGCACUCCGCCUGGGGAGUACGUACGCA
Molecule: ribosomal RNA, 396 nt
Filed under: uncultured bacterium
Lineage: Bacteria
Description: bacterial SSU rRNA
Rfam family: Bacterial small subunit ribosomal RNA
Source: RNAcentral